UUCCGCCGAGGACGCAGGAGGCGCGGGUCGCGUGACCCGCGCCUCCUGCGUCCUCGCGCAGU
This 62-nucleotide unclassified non-coding RNA is filed under the name Frigoribacterium sp. 9N. RNAcentral describes it as "MIR1846". Lineage: Bacteria; Bacillati; Actinomycetota; Actinomycetes; Micrococcales; Microbacteriaceae. The record is from RNAcentral.